GAUGAACGCUGGCGGCGUGCCUAAUACAUGCAAGUCGAGCGAACAGACGAGGAGCUUGCUCCUUUGAUGUUAGCGGCGGACGGGUGAGUAACACGUAGGUAACCUACCUAUAAGACUGGGAUAACUUCGGGAAACCGGAGCUAAUACCGGAUAAUAUUUCGAACCGCAUGGUUCGAUAGUGAAAGAUGGCCUUGCUAUCACUUAUAGAUGGACCUGCGCCGUAUUAGCUAGUUGGUAAGGUAACGGCUUACCAAGGCAACGAUACAUAGCCGACCUGAGAGGGUGAUCGGCCACACUGGAACUGAGACACGGUCCAGACUCCUACGGGAGGCAGCAGUAGGGAAUCUUCCGCAAUGGGCGAAAGCCUGACGGAGCAACGCCGCGUGAGUGAUGAAGGUCUUCGGAUCGUAAAACUCUGUUAUUAGGGAAGAACAUACGUGUAAGUAACUGUGCACGUCUUGACGGUACCUAAUCAGAAAGCCACGGCUAACUACGUG
Molecule: ribosomal RNA, 497 nt
Filed under: uncultured bacterium
Lineage: Bacteria
Description: partial 16S ribosomal RNA
Rfam family: Bacterial small subunit ribosomal RNA
Source: RNAcentral